GGAGUCUGGGCCGUAUCUCAGUCCCAAUGUGGCCGAUCACCCUCUCAGGCCGGCUACCGAUCGUCGCCUUGGUGGGCCGUUGCCCCGCCAACAACCUAAUCAGACGCAUCCCCAUCCCUUAGCGAUAAAUCUUUGUUCCAGCUCAGAUGUCCUCAUCGGAAAACAUAGGGUAUUAAUCCGACUUUCGCCGGGCUAUGCCC
Molecule: ribosomal RNA, 200 nt
Filed under: uncultured Prevotella sp.
Lineage: Bacteria; Pseudomonadati; Bacteroidota; Bacteroidia; Bacteroidales; Prevotellaceae
Description: partial 16S ribosomal RNA
Source: RNAcentral